RNAcentral lists this ribosomal RNA (253 nucleotides) under uncultured bacterium. RNAcentral describes it as "partial 16S ribosomal RNA". It matches the Rfam family "Bacterial small subunit ribosomal RNA", at positions 524 to 776 of the family's 1533-position model. The record is from RNAcentral.
UACAGAGGGUGCGAGCGUUAAUCGGAAUUACUGGGCGUAAAGGGCGCGUAGGCGGUGCAUCAAGUCAGGCGUGAAAGCCCCGGGCUCAACCUGGGAACCGCGCUUGAGACUGGUGCGCUCGAGUUCGGGAGAGGAUGGUGGAAUUCCCAGUGUAGAGGUGAAAUUCGUAGAUAUUGGGAAGAACACCGAUGGCGAAGGCAGCCAUCUGGACCGACACUGACGCUGAGGCGCGAAAGCCAGGGGAGCGAACGGG